AAGACGAUGGCGAGGAGACACACUUUUCUUUUUAAUUGAGAUCCCCUCCCUUCUCCUUUCUAUCCCUGUAAUUUCUGUCGUUUUCCUUUUCCUCUGGAUUUUUUUUCCAGGUGCGGUUGCCUGUCGGCCACUUUUACUGACGUCAUUUUGGUCACAUAUAAACCUGCGCCCACUACAUUUUUCUCCAGUUUAUUGUUUGCUGGAAUAGUUCCAUGGAGUUUCCCAUCGCGGAGUUCUGGUAUCUCCUGUGUCUGGUGUGUUGUUUAACGCGGUUCAAAGUUCAAAACAUUAAAAGUCCCAUUCUGUAUGUACACAAAUGCAGCUAUGACCACAAAAGCUGAGAUCACUCCUAUAACGGCUCUCGGACUGCUUCUAGUCACUUUUUGCGUGGUCCAGCUUCAAGUUCAGGCCACAGAGAUCACGCUGCUGGAAAUUUCCAAAUCGGUGAUCAAAAGUCUGACCAACUGCGAUAAGAGAAAUGUGACUUUGAGUGUAUGCCUGAAGAAGAGGUCCGUGAUCUUGCUCGAUAAGUACUCGAGGGCCCCGGAUCCGAUCAGUUUGAUGAGCAAUUCUUUGAGUCUGGUGAAAAGCGAAGUCUCGGUGAAUUCGACGGAGAGCAACCGUCGAUGGGCGAUUCUGGUUUGACGCCGGAAAAACUGGACGAGUACCUGCCCGCGGAGGAAAGCUCUCGUCAGCGAGUGCUUGAUGCUUUACUCGUGGGAUCCGUCUCAAAGUUUCUUCAGUCUCGAUCUCUCCAAGUCAAGUUGCCUCAGUUUUUGGCCCGCUACAUCAUUCCGGAUUGGACGAAGGUUAGUGCUUACCGAAAAAUGGACCGAGUUCGUCAGAGAGGAACCAACCCACAUUAAGUUGAAACAAAGAACACUUAAAUCGGGACCAAGGCCGCAAAUAAUAAAAGAACACAUAAAAUAAAAUAAAAGCCCGGACGUUUCGCAGGAUCGCACCCGCAUUUUCAACCGGCAAAAACAAAGAAGAUUAGAAAGAAGAACGAUAUGAACCUCACCGCUGUUAUUGUGAGACUGAUAGUGCAGUUAGUUGAAACUAACUGUUAAGUUGAAACUGAGAGAAAGAGGUUUGAAGUUUUAUUCCUGAAUUAGGCUCAAUGAAGAAAUUAACUUUGACCCCUAUCUUCGCGAACCAAUUUCCUUUUUUUGACUUUCAGAUUUUGGCAGAGGAGAUAUACUGCUAAUAA
This 1210-nucleotide long non-coding RNA is filed under the name Bemisia tabaci. Its description in RNAcentral is "lncRNA ENSSSA3NGG010248". Lineage: Eukaryota; Metazoa; Arthropoda; Insecta; Hemiptera; Aleyrodidae. The record is from RNAcentral.